AAAUGGUUUAUUUUAUUUUAUUUUAUGGGAUUUAUUUCUGGUUUCUGAUUGGCUUGCAGGCCUAGGGAGGUUUGUUGACCAAUGAGGUUGCACAACAUAGGUGUGUGCGGCGGGUGAACACGCGGUUCCCGGCGUUUUUCUCACACUAGGGCAGACAGCGGUAGAGCGAGCACCUGGAGCUCAGAUCUUUCCAGCUAAUCGGAAAUAAAACAAAGUAAAAGUUAAUAAAAGUUCACUAAAACAUCACAGAACAUUCCUAGUUGGCAGGAUUACUUACCUGGAGCUGUAAUUGGAGCGUCUGCGUUGUCUACCCCGUGUGAGCAUGCUGCGGUUUCCCCGCAUUGGUCAGGUUUUUUGAGAGAGGUGAAGUUGAACUGAAUUCCAGUGAUUUGGAUGGCGAGCCGAGCCCGACUAUCUGAACCAAGGAACCUUACUGCAUGCAGCGAACUGAACUCUGAUUCCACGUUCACACUGACACUGAGCCUAUUCACUUCUGAGCUUGGUAGGCUAAACUUGCACUCCCACAAAUCGCAGGAUCCUACAUUCGCUCGACUUAAUUUUGUGGACAUGGACUGUGGUAUGCGAACACAUUUCCAAUUGGAAUCAGAACACUAAAGGACGUCUAAGUCCCAGGAUUCUCUAAUUUCCAUUUUCUGAACGUGACUGGUGUUUAUUUUCUUUGUUUUUUUUCUCUUCUCACAAUUACCCGGGUAACAUGUUUUGUAUGCAUUGAAUUGUGUUUUUUUGUAUUAAAUUGAACAAUUCCUUUUUCCAAAUAUA
Pygocentrus nattereri (red-bellied piranha) is the source of this 780-nucleotide long non-coding RNA. RefSeq lists it as uncharacterized. The record is from RefSeq and is a predicted model, not a curated record. Lineage: Eukaryota; Metazoa; Chordata; Actinopteri; Characiformes; Serrasalmidae. The transcript is spliced from 2 exons.